GUGCUCACUUUGGCAGCACAUAUGGUAAAAUUGGAACGAUACAGAGAAGGUUACCGUGGCCCCUGCACAAGGAUGAGACACAAAUUCGUGAAGUGUUCCAUAUUUUU
Small nuclear RNA from Delphinapterus leucas (beluga whale), 107 nucleotides. The record is from Ensembl. Lineage: Eukaryota; Metazoa; Chordata; Mammalia; Artiodactyla; Monodontidae.